This 90-nucleotide transfer RNA is filed under the name Sinomonas atrocyanea. RNAcentral describes it as "tRNA-Ser". It matches the Rfam family "tRNA". From Rfam's summary of the family: Transfer RNA (tRNA) molecules are approximately 80 nucleotides in length. Their secondary structure includes four short double-helical elements and three loops (D, anti-codon, and T loops). Further hydrogen bonds mediate the characteristic L-shaped molecular structure. tRNAs have two regions of fundamental functional importance: the anti-codon, which is responsible for specific mRNA codon recognition, and the 3' end, to which the tRNAs corresponding amino acid is attached (by aminoacyl-tRNA synthetases). tRNAs cope with the degeneracy of the genetic code in two manners: having more than one tRNA (with a specific anti-codon) for a particular amino acid; and 'wobble' base-pairing, i.e. permitting non-standard base-pairing at the 3rd anti-codon position. The record is from RNAcentral. Lineage: Bacteria; Bacillati; Actinomycetota; Actinomycetes; Micrococcales; Micrococcaceae. RNAcentral also lists the same sequence under 3 other names.
UGGUGGUGUGUCCGAGCGGCCGAAGGUGCAUCACUCGAAAUGAUGUUUGGGGCAACCCAACGGGGGUUCAAAUCCCUCCACCACCGCCCA